CCUACGGGUGGCAGCAGUGGGGAAUAUUGCACAAUGGGCGCAAGCCUGAUGCAGCCAUGCCGCGUGUGUGAAGAAGGCCUUCGGGUUGUAAAGCACUUUCAGCGGGGAGGAAGGCGGUGAGGUUAAUAACCUCAUCGAUUGACGUUACCCGCAGAAGAAGCACCGGCUAACUCCGUGCCAGCAGCCGCGGUAAUACGGAGGGUGCAAGCGUUAAUCGGAAUUACUGGGCGUAAAGCGCACGCAGGCGGUCUGGCAAGUCGGAUGUGAAAUCCCCGGGCUCAACCUGGGAACUGCAUUCGAAACUGGCAGGCUAGAGUCUUGUAGAGGGGAGUAGAAUUCCAGGUGUAGCGGUGAAAUGCGUAGAGAUCUGGAGGAAUACCGGUGGCGAAGGCGGCCCCCUGGACAAAGACUGACGCUCAGGUGCGAAAGCGUGGGGAGCAAACAGGAUUAGAUACCCUUGUAGUC
This 465-nucleotide ribosomal RNA is filed under the name uncultured Klebsiella sp. RNAcentral describes it as "bacterial SSU rRNA". It matches the Rfam family "Bacterial small subunit ribosomal RNA", at positions 338 to 795 of the family's 1533-position model. The record is from RNAcentral. Lineage: Bacteria; Pseudomonadati; Pseudomonadota; Gammaproteobacteria; Enterobacterales; Enterobacteriaceae.